RNAcentral lists this ribosomal RNA (253 nucleotides) under uncultured bacterium. RNAcentral describes it as "partial 16S ribosomal RNA". It matches the Rfam family "Bacterial small subunit ribosomal RNA", at positions 524 to 776 of the family's 1533-position model. The record is from RNAcentral.
UACGGAGGGUGCAAGCGUUAAUCGGAAUUACUGGGCGUAAAGGGUUCGUAGGUGGUUAAUUAAGUUAUCUGUGAAAUCCCCGGGCUCAACCUGGGCAGGUCAGAUAAUACUGGUUAACUCGAGUAUGGGAGAGGGUAGUGGAAUUUCCGGUGUAGCGGUGAAAUGCGUAGAGAUCGGAAGGAACACCAGUGGCGAAGGCGGCUACCUGGCCUAAUACUGACACUGAGGAACGAAAGCGUGGGGAGCAAACAGG